Molecule: ribosomal RNA, 239 nt
Filed under: uncultured soil bacterium
Lineage: Bacteria
Description: partial 16S ribosomal RNA
Rfam family: Bacterial small subunit ribosomal RNA
Source: RNAcentral
AGAUUGAACGCUGGCGGCAGGCCUAACACAUGCAAGUCGAGCGGCAGCACGGGUACUUGUACCUGGUGGCGAGCGGCGGACGGGUGAGUAAUGCCUAGGAAUCUGCCUGGUAGUGGGGGAUAACGCUCGGAAACGGACGCUAAUACCGCAUACGUCCUACGGGAGAAAGCAGGGGACCUUCGGGCCUUGCGCUAUCAGAUGAGCCUAGGUCGGAUUAGCUAGUUGGUAGAGGUAAUGGC